Molecule: ribosomal RNA, 535 nt
Filed under: Candidatus Rokuibacteriota bacterium
Lineage: Bacteria; Candidatus Rokuibacteriota
Description: bacterial SSU rRNA
Rfam family: Bacterial small subunit ribosomal RNA
Source: RNAcentral
UUGGCGAGUUUGAUCCUGGCUCAGAGCGAACGCUGGCGGCGUACUUAACACAUGCAAGUCGAACGAGGAUCAUCGGGUUAGCAAUAAUUCGGUGGUUCUAGUGGCGUACGGGUGAGUAACACGUGGGUAACCUGCCCUUGAGUCCGGGAUACCCUCUCGAAAGGGAGGCUAAUACUGGAUACGUUCCCCGGGGCGCAAGACCUGGGGAGGAAAGGUGGCGAAAGCUGCCGCUCUUGGAGGGGCUCGCGGCCUAUCAGCUAGUUGGUGAGGUAACGGCUCACCAAGGCUAUGACGGGUAGCUGGUCUGAGAGGACGACCAGCCACACGGGAACUGAGACACGGUCCCGACUCGUACGGGAGGCAGCAGUGGGGAAUUUUCCGCAAUGGGCGAAAGCCUGACGGAGUGACGCCGCGUGGGGGACGAAGGCCUUCGGGUCGUAAACCCCUGUCAGAGGGAAAGAAGGGUGUCGGCGUGAACAGCGCCGGCAUUUGACGGUACCUUCAGAGGAAGCCCCGGCCAACUCUGUGCCAGCAG